RNAcentral lists this unclassified non-coding RNA (358 nucleotides) under soil metagenome. RNAcentral describes it as "partial contains 5.8S ribosomal RNA, internal transcribed spacer 2, and large subunit ribosomal RNA". The stretch from base 1 to 120 matches the Rfam family "5.8S ribosomal RNA", at positions 35 to 154 of the family's 154-position model. The record is from RNAcentral.
GAUGAAGAACGUAGUGAAAUGCGAUAAGUAAUGUGAAUUGCGGAAUUCAGUGAAUCAUCGAAUCUUUGAACGCACAUUGCGCCCGUCAGUAUUCUGGCGGGCAUGCCUGUUCGAGCGUCAUUACGCCCCUCAAGUCCCCUGUGGACUUGGUGUUGGGGAUCGGCGAGGCUGGUUUUCCAGCACAGCCGUCCCUUAAAUUAAUUGGCGGUCUCGCCGUGGCCCUCCUCUGCGCAGUAGUAAAACACUCGCAACAGGAGCCCGGCGCGGUCCACUGCCGUAAAACCCCCCAACUUUUUAUAGUUGACCUCGAAUCAGGUAGGACUACCCGCUGAACUUAAGCAUAUCAAUAAGCGGAGGA